UGGGGAAUUUUGGACAAUGGGCGAAAGCCUGAUCCAGCAAUGCCGCGUAAGUGAAGAAGGCCUUCGGGUUGUAAAGCUCUUUUGUCAGGGAAGAAACGGUGAAAGCUAAUAUCUUUUGCUAAUGACGGUACCUGAAGAAUAAGCACCGGCUAACUACGUGCCAGCAGCCGCGGUAAUACGUAGGGUGCAAGCGUUAAUCGGAAUUACUGGGCGUAAAGCGUGCGCAGGCGGUUUUGUAAGUCUGAUGUGAAAUCCCCGGGCUCAACCUGGGAAUUGCAUUGGAGACUGCAAGGCUAGAAUCUGGCAGAGGGGGGUAGAAUUCCACGUGUAGCAGUGAAAUGCGUAGAUAUGUGGAGGAACACCGAUGGCGAAGGCAGCCCCCUGGGUCAAGAUUGACGCUCAUGCACGAAAGCGUGGGGAGCAAACAGGAUUAGAUACCCUGGUAGUCCACGCCCUAAACGAUGUCUACUAGUUGUCGGGUCUUAAUUGACUUGGUAACGCAGCUAACGCGUGAAGUAGACCGCCUGGGGAGUACGGUCGCAAGAUU
This 547-nucleotide ribosomal RNA is filed under the name uncultured bacterium. RNAcentral's name for it is "partial 16S ribosomal RNA". It matches the Rfam family "Bacterial small subunit ribosomal RNA", at positions 355 to 895 of the family's 1533-position model. The record is from RNAcentral.